This is an RNA transcript of Sinocyclocheilus anshuiensis, 2691 nucleotides long. It is a transcript of the gene named L-threonine dehydrogenase 2, with no coding region annotated. NCBI's taxonomy places the organism in Eukaryota, Metazoa, Chordata, Actinopteri, Cypriniformes, Cyprinidae. The record is from RefSeq and is a predicted model, not a curated record. The transcript is spliced from 11 exons.
CGUCAGCAAGUUUGCCCUCUUGUAGCGUUCACGCGACCGUACGUGCUAGUAUAAAGGUAAAACUACAUUUCCCAGCAUUCUCUGCUCCGGCAGCUUCUUUAUCCAAUGGUCAUUCGAUGCGCUCCUCUGACAACCAAUCGGACAGUAAUCUCUUAAUUCUAACGGUUAAAUACCAUGAAAAUCCCACUUACCAGCACUAUUUACUUACUUAAUUUUCCACCUCCGGAUACACAACAGUAAUGUUGUGAUUUUGAUGCAAGACACGUGUUUCACAUAGUCACGGAUUUCAAGUUUUGACACGCUCAAGAUGCUGUCAGGUGUCCGGUUGUGUGUCCGCUCGUUGUGUAGAGGUUGGUCGGUUCGCGGCAUGAGUUUAUCGCCGCGUCAGAUCAACCGAUGGCCGAGCAACGAGUCCUCCGAGCCUCCUGCGGACAGUCCUCGAGUCCUCAUCACAGGUGGCCUGGGACAGCUUGGAGUUGGACUAGCUGAAAUGCUGAGGAAGCAGUAUGGAAAGGAAAACAUCAUCCUGUCAGACAUUAGGAGGCCUCCCGCUGAAGUUUAUAGCAUGGGUCCGUUUGUAUACGCUGACGUGCUGGACUAUAAAAACCUGAGGGAGCUAGUUGUGAAUAACAGAAUCAGCUGGCUGGUGCAUUACAGUGCAUUACUCAGUGCUAUCGGGGAAGCUAACUUGGCUCUUGCCCGCACCAUCAAUAUCACAGGACUGCAUAAUGUGUUAGAUCUGGCUCUGGAGAACUGCUUGCGACUGUUUGUACCCAGUACCAUAGGAGCUUUCGGCCCUUCAUCUCCCCGUUACCCAGCACCUGACCUCUGUAUCCAGAGACCUCGCACCAUUUAUGGGGUUUCCAAAGUCCAUGCAGAGCUGAUGGGGGAAUAUCUCCAUCAUAAAUAUGGCCUGGAUUUCCGAUGCUUGCGAUACCCAGGAGUCGUUUCUGCCCACACCAAGCCAGGAGGGGGCACUACUGAUUAUGCUGUCCAGAUAUUUCAUGAUGCCCUCAGCACCGGCCACCAUGAAUGUUACUUGUGCUCCAACACUCGGCUUCCCAUGAUGCACAUUUCUGACUGUCACAGGGCCACCAUUGAGUUCAUGCAGGCCCCGGAAAGCCAACUUUCCCUGCGUACUUACAACAUCGCAGCCAUGAGCUUCACACCUGAAGAAGUGGCAGAAGAGAUUCGCAAACACCUGCCCCACCUGAGGGUCACGUACAAUCCUGAUACCAUCCGGCAGACUAUUGCGGACAGCUGGCCAGUGCGGUUUGAUGACUCUAACGCACGUCAGGACUGGGGCUGGAAGCCUGCGUACGGCCUGUCAGAGCUGGUCACAGACAUGCUGGCCUCCAUCCGUGAAAAAAGAACCAAUGCAGGACUACCUGUCAGCUAGCAGGUUUCUCAGGGACUGAUACACAGAUCACCAGCACCUUUCCAGUACAUUUCCAAACUCAUUUAUCUCAAAUUUGGUAGCUGUUUCUUUAGAUCAGGACUUUCCGUCAGUUAGAGAACUGCUGACACUGACAGUUCUCUAAAUAUGUAUGCUUGUGAAGAAAACAUGUUAACCAACAGUGAAAACUCACAUUCUCUCACCGCUCAGGAGACUGUCGUUCUUCUCUGUGAUCUGUUCUCACAUAGUUUUUAAGUUGUCAUGGGACAGGGGAAAACAAGGAAACAACAAAAUUCUGAUGAAUACAGUAUAAUAAUAAUAAUAUCAUUGCGCACUUUAGAGAUGAAACUGUCCAAUUUAAUUAUUUUAGAGACAUCAUACACUAUAUUAAAAUAACAAGGUCAGCACUGAGAAAAAUUCUGGCUGGCCCAAACUUCAAUGAUCUGAUGUUAUAAUUAAAACUCUGCUUUCCUAAUCUUAACCAAUCAUGACAUUCUGUUUGGGAGGGGUUGAAUUUUGACCCCACAAAUGCUCCAUUUCUACAAAUACAGUAAGGACCACUAGACACCUCGCUCUGUGCUCUAGUCUAGACCACUCCAUGUAUUGUGUACAAGAGGAAGUGUCUCAGUUUGAACACAGCCAUGGGCAGAAAAUACUUUAAACCACUACUACCUUUAGUGGAAGGUAUUGCCUUUGUUCCAGCUGCGAUCGCUGAAGAAAUCACAGUUGCCUGAAUUUUGGGUUCUGUUAAACCCACUAUUGUCUGCAUUGGCUAUUUAUUUAGAGUCCGUUAUCAAAGGGCUCUGGGUUCACAAUGCAUAGUUUGGUGGUGUGAAUUAAGUACUUAAUCACUCAGCAUUGCUGAUGUAUUAUUAUACACUAAGAGUUUUUUUUUUUUACACAUUUUUUGUUAACUCAGAAGAGCAAAACUACUGGAUAAAACACCCAAAGCCUUGCAGGAGUAAAGGGGGUGUUCUUUGGCUUUGGCCCCUCUGAAAGUCUUUAGUAUGCCUUCUGUAUAGGCUACUGGUGCAGACAAAUAAAAAUGACUAAUCAAUAUAUAAGAUGUUUAAGAUAUAUAAGACGAUAUAUACAAUGACUCACCUUUCUUCCAAAAGCAAGUGUGAUUUCAGUGUUAAAAGUUGAAACUGCAUUAAUUUUCACUUAUCAUUUAACCUCAAAAGUUGUUAAUGAAUCUCAAAAAGAACUGGUGGAAAAUUGCAGUGUAUGUCAAAUAAAUGGCUUUAAUACAGCAAACAGUUUAUGUAUGUCUUUGUUCAUUGUGACCUCUGCAG